RNAcentral lists this ribosomal RNA (699 nucleotides) under Lecanora sulphurea. RNAcentral describes it as "SSU rRNA". It matches the Rfam family "Bacterial small subunit ribosomal RNA", at positions 372 to 1027 of the family's 1533-position model. The record is from RNAcentral. Lineage: Eukaryota; Fungi; Ascomycota; Lecanoromycetes; Lecanorales; Lecanoraceae.
UAGCCUAACGGCUGAACCAGCAACUUGGAGGAAUGUAUAGCAAUAGCUAGUUGCAUCAAUGUUUAAAUAAUUGAUGCGAUAUCGACUAUGUCGAAUAAAAUUCUAGGUAGAAUUAUGAUAAUGACAUUGUCUGCCUAUGUGUCUUGACCAAAUUACGUGCCAGCAGUCGCGGUAAUACGUAGAAGACUAGUGUUAUUCAUCUUUAAUAGGUUUAAAGGGUACCUAGACGGUAUAUCAAGCCUGCAACACGGGACUAAUGUACUAGAGUUACUUACGAGGGGGUAUUAAAGUACUGCUGGUGUAGAGAUGAAAUUCUGUCAUACCUCAUUUCGUAAGAAAUACUACGGCACAGGUAUAGGCGAAAGCAUCCCCUUAUGUGAUAACUGACGUUGAAGGACGAAGGCUUUGUGUAGCGAACAGGAUUAGAUACCCCAAUAGUCAAAGCAGAAAAUGAUGAAUGUCAUAGAUUAGACACUUAAUAGUUUAUUCUAUAAAUGAAAGUGUAAGCAUUCCACCUCAAGAGUAAUUUGGCAACAUUGGAACUGAAAUCAUUAGACCGUUUCUGAAACCAGUAGUGAAGUAUGUUGUUUAAUUUGAUAAUCCGCAAAAAACCUUACCACAAUUUGAAUAUUUAGAUUUUCAUUUUCUUUUUUUUUUGCGCUGUUUUGUUUAGCCUAACGGCUGAACCAGCAACUUGGA